UCCCGGUUGGCCCGGGCAGUCUCGCCUGAAAUAUUCAACAGACGACAAGGGUUGCGCUCGUUGCGGGACUUAACCCAACAUCUCACGACACGAGCUGACGACGGCCAUGCAGCACCUGUCACUGCAUUCCCGAAGGCACGGCGCUGUUUCCAGCGCUUUCGCAGGAUGUCAAGCCUCGGUAAGGUUCUUGGCGUAGCGUCCAAUUAAACCACAUCAUCCACCGCUUGUGCGGGUCCCCGUCAAUUCCUUUGAGUUUUAAGCUUGCGCUCGUACUCCCCAGGCGGCUUACUUAUCGCGUUAGCUUCACAGCACAGGGGGUCGAUACCCCAUACUAUUAGUAAGCAUCGUUUACGGCGUGGACUAC
RNAcentral lists this unclassified non-coding RNA (364 nucleotides) under uncultured bacterium. RNAcentral's name for it is "contains 16S-23S intergenic spacer region". The record is from RNAcentral.